GAUGAACGCUGGCGGCGUGCUUAACACAUGCAAGUCGAACGAUGAAGCCCAGCUUGCUGGGUGGAUUAGUGGCGAACGGGUGAGUAACACGUGAGUAACCUGCCCUUAACUCUGGGAUAAGCCUGGGAAACUGGGUCUAAUACCGGAUAGGAGCGUCCACCGCAUGGUGGGUGUUGGAAAGAUUUAUCGGUUUUGGAUGGACUCGCGGCCUAUCAGCUUGUUGGUGAGGUAAUGGCUCACCAAGGCGACGACGGGUAGCCGGCCUGAGAGGGUGACCGGCCACACUGGGACUGAGACACGGCCCAGACUCCAACGGGAGGCAGCAGUGGGGAAUAUUGCACAAUGGGCGCAAGCCUUAUGCAGCGACGGCGGGUGAGGGAUGACGGCCUUCGGGUUGUAAACCUCUUUCAGUAGGGAAGAAGCGAAAGUGACGGUACCUGCAGAAGAAGCACCGGCUAACUACGUG
This 466-nucleotide ribosomal RNA is filed under the name uncultured bacterium. Its description in RNAcentral is "partial 16S ribosomal RNA". It matches the Rfam family "Bacterial small subunit ribosomal RNA", at positions 28 to 507 of the family's 1533-position model. The record is from RNAcentral.